This 28-nucleotide non-coding RNA is filed under the name Mus musculus (house mouse). Lineage: Eukaryota; Metazoa; Chordata; Mammalia; Rodentia; Muridae. The record is from RNAcentral.
UAUUACCAGAAACACGAUUGGUGCUUUG